Molecule: ribosomal RNA, 441 nt
Filed under: uncultured bacterium
Lineage: Bacteria
Description: partial 16S ribosomal RNA
Rfam family: Bacterial small subunit ribosomal RNA
Source: RNAcentral
CCUACGGGAGGCAGCAGUGGGGGAUAUUGCACAAUGGGGGAAACCCUGAUGCAGCGACGCCGCGUGUGGGAAGACGGUCCUCUGGAUUGUACACCACUGUCCCCAGGGACGAAGAUGACGGUACCUGGGGAGUAAGCUCCGGCGAACUACGUGCCAGCAGCCGCGGUAAUACGGAGGGAGCGAGCGUUGUCCGGAAUUACGGGGUGUAAAGGGAGCGUAGACGGCAGCGCAAGUCUGGAGUGAAAUCCCAUGGCUUAACCAUGGAACUGCCUGGGAAACUGUGCAGCUAGAGUGCAGGAGAGGUAAGCGGAAUGCCUAGUGUAGCGGUGAAAUGCGUAGAUAUUAGGAGGAACACCAGUGGCGAAGGCGGCUUACUGGACUGUAACUGACGUUGAGGCUCGAAAGCGUGGGGAGCAAACAGGAUUAGAUACCCCAGUAGUC